Long non-coding RNA from Gopherus evgoodei (Goodes thornscrub tortoise), 721 nucleotides. RefSeq lists it as uncharacterized. NCBI's taxonomy places the organism in Eukaryota, Metazoa, Chordata, Testudines, Testudinidae. The transcript is spliced from 4 exons. The record is from RefSeq and is a predicted model, not a curated record.
ACAAGUUUCCAGAUGGAUCUCGUGGAUGAUGCAGAAGUCCCAGAGACGGAGUGCAUCUUGGCAGAGAGUUGACGAGCAAACUCCCCCUUUCCUGUUGAUGUAUAACAUUGAGGCUGUGUUGUCCAUCAGGACUCUCCUCAUCACCUUGCCCAACAGAUGAGGGACCACAUACCCUGGGUCUGGAGAUCUCCAAGGUGUGCACCCCAGCCGAGGUCCGAGGCAUCUGAUACCAACUUGAUGGAGUGAGGUGGAGUGUCAAACAGAACUACCUCUAGGACUGUCCUGCGAUUGGUCCACCACUGCAGUGAGAAGGCCCCGGGAGCAACACAUGGCUUGCAGCACUGCUAUAUCCUUUUGGACUUGAGACCUAGAGCUGCCUUUGACCAUCCAGUCAUCGAGGUAUGAGUAGAUCUGGAUUCCCUGAUGCCUCAGGACCUGGCUGUCGAAGCGAAGGUCCUUCAUCGACCGCUGAGCCUUGGUAGACAAGCUCGAAAGAAGCAGCCAGGAAGCUCGCUGCAUAGAGAUGGUGGAGGCCAUGGUGAAGACGGCAGAAUCUGCCGUGUCUAAAGUUGCCUGGAGGGCCGAUCUGGCCACAGCCAUGCCCUCCUCGAGGAUUGCCCGGAAUUCCUUCCUGGAGCCUUUGAGGAGUGAAGCCUCAAACUUGGCCAUGGCUUGCCACAUGUUGUAAUCGUAGUGGCCAAGUGAUUGGCCACUCUCAACU